UUAACGAACCGGCAGUGUAAAUAU
This 24-nucleotide microRNA is filed under the name Zea mays. RNAcentral's name for it is "microRNA miR-3020". The record is from RNAcentral. Lineage: Eukaryota; Viridiplantae; Streptophyta; Magnoliopsida; Poales; Poaceae.